RNAcentral lists this ribosomal RNA (95 nucleotides) under Olea europaea subsp. europaea. The record is from RNAcentral. Lineage: Eukaryota; Viridiplantae; Streptophyta; Magnoliopsida; Lamiales; Oleaceae.
GGACGUUUGUGUCGCACGUUGAAUACACCAGUUCCCAUGCGAUCACUGAAGUUAAGUGACGUUGAGCCUGCGUGAUGCCCAAGUCGAGGCGACCU